Catharus ustulatus (Swainson's thrush) is the source of this 376-nucleotide long non-coding RNA. RefSeq lists it as uncharacterized. Lineage: Eukaryota; Metazoa; Chordata; Aves; Passeriformes; Turdidae. The record is from RefSeq and is a predicted model, not a curated record. The transcript is spliced from 3 exons.
CUAAGGUAGCCUUGAGGCCCUGAUUUUGGCAGCAGUUUUGCAAAAUGUCCCUGUAAGCUCAACAAACCCUGAGAAGAUCUUGGAGAAGCCUGCAGCAACUGAUGACCAAACCCAGAGGUGCUUUGGACAGAACCAGAGGGAGGUGCCAGCCUUGCCAGGAAGCACAGCGUGGCCCAGGUCAUGCUGCAGACACGGGGACAGGCUGUGGAGCAUCCCAGUGGUGACACCUUGAGCCUGGGACAGGGGCUCUGCACGAGGCCAGGGAAGGAGGCAUGGCUUUCCUCAUCUCUACCUGUGCAGGAGCCGUGUGACCCUUCCUGGAGCAGACAGAGUGCGAGAUCACCAGGCCAGCAGACUCACAGAAAAUAUGUAAGUA